RNAcentral lists this ribosomal RNA (3057 nucleotides) under Parcubacteria group bacterium GW2011_GWC1_38_17. Its description in RNAcentral is "bacterial LSU rRNA". It matches the Rfam family "Bacterial large subunit ribosomal RNA". The record is from RNAcentral.
UAUAAGGGUAUAUGGUGGAUGCCUUGGCAUGGAAAGGCGAUGAAGGACGCGGUAUGACUGCGAUAAGCUUCGGGGAGACGUCAAACAGUCUUUGAUCCGAAGAUUUCCGAAUGGGGAAACCCCUCAAGGCUCAAAACCUUGAGAGCUCCUUGUUUAACUACUUGGAGUAGCGAACCCGCUGAAGUGAAACCUCUCAGUAAGCGGAGGAAAAGAGAAAAUAAUUUAUUCCCUUAGUAGCGGCGAGCGAAGAGGGAAAAGCCCAAACCUGCGGACAUCACAUUGCAUGUGAUGUCGCGAGUUAAAAGUCCAAAGUUAAAAGUUUAAUUGUGAAGUUAGCUGAACUUCUCUGGAAAGAGAGGCCAUAGCGAGUGAUAGCCUCGUAAGCGAAAAUUUCACAGCUCGAGCAUUUGUUCCUAAGUACUGCGGGGAAUGAAAGCCCUGUAGGAAGCUUCCAAUACUACUUGGAAAGGCUAAAUACUAAUCCAUGACCGAUAGUGAACUAGUACCGUGAGGGAAAGGUGAAAAGCAGCCCGGCGAGGGCGAUGAAAUAAACCUGAAACCAUAUACUUACAAGGAAUCGGAGCCUGUGUGGGUGACGGUGUGCCUCUUGGAGAAUGAGCCAACGACUUUAUGUAUGUCGCUUGUCUAAUCCGCCUUGGCGGAGUAGGCGCAGGGAAACCGAGUCUGAAUAGGGCGAUAGAAAUUUAGUCAGCGAGAUUUAUUUGGAAAUUAGGAUUUGGAAAUUGGGAAUUCCGCGCUGUGCGCGGUAGGCGGCAUGUAUAAGACCCGAAGCCGGAGCGAGCUACCUAUGACCAGGAUGAAUUUCACCGAAAGGUGAAAGGAGGUCCGAACCCGUUAGUCGUGCAAUGCUAUGGGAUGAGUUGUGGGUAGAAGUGAAAAGCUAAUCGAGCCCGGUGAUAGCUGGUUCUCCCCGAAAUAGUUUUCGGACUAGCCUCGUUUUUAUAGAUGAUUGGGGGUAGAGCACUGGAUGGUUUUGCCUGGCGCAAGCUAGCAACACCAAUCAAACUCCGAAUACCGAUCAUUGUUGAACGGGAGUCAGACUGUGGGGGCUAAGCUUCAUAGUCAAAAGGAGAAGAGUCCUAAUCGCCAUUUAAGGUCCCAAAAUGCAAGCUAAGUGUACAAGGUUGUGAGAUUUCUCAAACAGCAAGGAGGUUGGCUUAGAAGCAGCCAUCCUUUAAAGAGUGCGUAACAGCUCACUUGUCGAGAGAUCUUGCGCCGGAAAUGUUCGGGGCUAAGCUUGCUACCGAAAAUGCGAAUGUGCGGACAUCACAUUGCAUGUGAUGUCGCGAGUUAAAAGUCCAAAGUUAAAAGUUUAAAGUGAAUUCAGAAAUGCAUUUACUUUUUACAUUUAACUUUUGGGAGCGUUUGUAUCUGCAGUGAAGGUCGACCCGCGAGGGCGGCUGGAGCGAUACGAAGUGAGAAUGUUGGCAUAAGUAACCGCAAGACAGGUUAAAUUCCUGUCCGCCGUAAACCUAAGGUUUCCUUGGCAAUGACAAUCAGCCAAGGGUUAGGCAACCCUAAGGCAAUCCCGAGAGGGGCAGCCGAUGGAUAGCCGGUUAAUAUUCCGGCCCUUUGUUAAUAUUUGAUGGGAGGUCGUAACACAGUAAGCUGAGCAUCUUAUUGGAUUGAUGUUCCUGGCUUAAGGAUGCUUUCUUGGCAAAUCCGGAAAGCUUUCGCAGCAAUGCGAAAAAUCUAAGAGCAGGGAAAAUUUUGGAGCAAUCUGAAAAAUUCAGCCGAGCGCGUUACCAAGAAAUUCUCUCUAAAAUUAGUAUUAACGAAUCUGUACCGUAAACCGACACAGGUAGGUGAGGCGAGUAGCCUCAGGCGAAUGGGUGAGUGAUCCUCAAGGAACUAGGCAAAAAAGCUACCCGUAAGUUUGCAAGAUGGGUUCCCUAUUGCGGCGAUAGGGCGCAGCUAAAGAUAUCUGGGGACUGUUUAUCAAAAACACAACUCCCUGCUAACUCGCAAGAGGAUGUAUAGGGGGUGACGCUUGUCCAGUGCUGGAACGUUAACGGUCAAUGUCUUAGAAAUUCGUUUUUAAGGCUGCGGCCCGAAGCGCCAGUGAACGACCGCGGUAACUAUAACCGUGUUAAAGUAGCGAAAUUCCUUGUCGGGUAAGUUCCGACGCGCAUGAAAAGCGUAACUACCGGAUAACUGUCUCGAGGAUCAGCCCGGUGAAAUUGCAAGGCAGGUGAAGAUGCCUGCUUCCUGCACUUAGACGAAAAGACCCCGGAAGCUUCACUGCAACUUGUUAUUGUGUUUAGAUUUUUGCUGCGUAGUGUAGUGGGUAGACUUUGAAGUUGUGUUUUCGGACAUAAUGGAGUCAACAAUGAAACACCCAUCUUCAAAAAUUUAAAUUCUAACCUUUACGGAAAAAACGUAUUGGGACAGUGGCUGGUGGGCAGUUUUGGUGGGGCGCUAGCCUCCCAAAAGGUAACGGAGGCGUUCAUUAAGGUCAGCUAGGCACGGAUGGAAAUCGUGCUGGUAGUGUAAAGGCACAAGCUGGCUUAACUGCAAGACCUACAAGUCGCGCAGAUGCGAAAGCAGGACUUAGUGAACCGAUCAUUCUUUGUAGAACGGUGAGAGAUCAUCGGAUAAAAGCUACUCCGGGGAUAACAGGCUGGUUUGGUCCAAGAGUUCUUAUCGACGACCAAGUUCGGCACCUGAUGUCGGCUCUUCGCAUCCUGGGGGUGGAGAAGCUCCCAAGGGUUGGGCUGUUCGCCCAUUAAAGCGGAACGUGAGCUGGGUUCAGACCGUCGCGAGACAGGUUGGUCUCCUAUCUAGUGCAGGCGUUGAGACUUGAGGGAAGUCGUUCCUAGUCGAGAGGACCGGAACGAACAAAUCUCUGGUGUAUCAGUUGUCACGCCAGUGGCAUUGCUGAGUAGCUAUUGUUUGGAAGGGAUAAGCGCUGAAAGCAUCUAAGCACGAAGCCCAUCCCAAGAUUAGGUCUCGUUUUAGAUCCGUGGGAGAUUACCACGUUGAUAGGCUGCAGGUGUAAGCGCAGUAAUGCGUUCAGCCGAGCAGUACUAAUAGAUC